UGUUCUUCUGAAAUCCGAACUGAUUUUGGUGAAUUAGGUGGUUAUGGUUUAGAUGAAGGACGAGUCUAUUAUAUAUAAGUUUUUCGAGAAUUUUGGACAUGAAUGGCAAAUUACUGAUAGGUCUGUAGUUAUUUACAAGUUGCGAGUCCCCACUUUUAUAGAUGGGUUUAAUCACGUUUUUUUGAAAAUGCUCGGAAAUAUCCCCAAGGACAAACAGCUGUUGAAAAGAUGGACAAUUGCCUGGAGUAUAACCUUAUAAGAUAACUUGAAUAUUUUUAAAUUAAUAUUGUCGACUCCAGCUCCGACGUUGUUCAGACCAUCCAUAACAAGAAUUAAUUCCUGUUCAUUAGUGGGGGGGCAGAUCCGUUUCAUUUUCUACAUCUGUGAUGAGCUGGAGGGGGUAGAACGAUGAUUUAGGAAUCUUGUCUUUUAACUAUUAUCCAAUCUCACUAAAGAAGUGGUUAAAUGAUUCUGCGAUAUCCGGAGCGUCUGAUAAUUUUAUCAUCAGUUCCAGUAAUCCUGGUUGGAUCUACAUCUUUUUGUUUUGAAUUGAUGAGUGCGUAAUGUUUUCCAUGUUUCCUUGGAGUUGCCAGAAUGUUUACUGAAUUAAUCAUUGUAGUAUUUCUUUUUGGCUACCCUAAGAGAUAUAGUUAGAAUGAUACAGUAAGAAGUGUAUGUUGCAUUAUUUUCAAGACUGGGAUUCUUCAAUUUCUGUUCAAACAGCUUACUUUUAUGUGUAAUUGAUAGAAGAAGUGCAGGUGACACCCAUGGUUUGCGUGAGCUGGUUUUUCGAGAAAUGUGCCUUGUGUGAGAAAACCUGGUGAUCCUGGCAAUGUAAGCAUACACAAUUUGAUUUGCAACAGCACCAGGUUCUGGCUCAUUUUCAAUAUAAACAAGGUGAUCAACAAGGAAUUGUUUAAAUUCUUCCAGCGAUCUAUAAUCAAAUGUGGUAAUAGGUGCUCUACCAUCAAGGGAGUGUGGGUGUGAGGCAUAACUCAUGGAAGCAAAAAUAGGGAACUGAUCAGACAAAUCAUGAAGGAGAAUGCCUGUAUGCAUCACUUUUGAUAAGACAUUGCAAAAUAUGUUAUCUAGAAGAGUACAUGAUGGAUAGCAAGAUCGAGUUGUCCUGGAUAUUUUAGGAAAGAAGCCAUUUGAACACAUGUUAGUGAAAAGUGCUUGCACAUUAGGAUUUAUAUCAAGUGAGAACAGAUCAAAGUUGAAAUGACCAGCAAUAAAUGUCACUUUGUUCAUUUUUUAAAGCCAAAUUAGGCAUUGUUCUAGCUCUGAGUUGAAGUGGUGUUUGUCAGUGCUGGGCACUAUCACAGGGUAGUUCAGCACAAACCACUUUAGCUGUAGAGAAAACUGGAUUGUUAAGUUGUGUAGGAUGAAGAUGAUCAGCAAUGUGUACUGCUGAUCCACCACCUACCCCUUUUGAUCUGCUGCAGUAGAAACCUUGGUACCCAGGUAAGUCAUAAUGAAUUCCAAAGCCGCAGACAGCCAUGUCUCAGAUAUAGAAAUUACAUGCCAUGUUAUAUCAGUCUGGGCAAGCAGACUACUUAAAUCAUCCUGCUUCUUCAGGAUUGAGGGAAUGUUAACAUGUAUAAGGUUUAGUGCACUGAUGUUGUGUGGAAUAACAGUUUUUACCUGAUCAGGUAAGUAGAAUGUGCAUGCUUCUCUUAGUUUUUCAUGAUCAUCACAUGAUAGUGAAGGAUCACUACCAUCCAUGUUUGAAGCAAAUGGAUUAAACACCUUAUUAUUUGGGGUUGAACCCAUAUAGUAAGGUGUUGAUGGAAAAGAAGGUAAGGAAAAGUGGAUGAUCUAGAAUACAGGUCAUAGAGGGAGUUCAGAAAAGGGAGAUUUUAAUCAUUAUCAAAUCAGAGAUUUUAAUCAUUUUAAGAUGUUUUUCAAUAUGAUGCUCAAGACUUCAAAAUGAGAAAGCAUAUGUUGAAUGAUAAAUGCCAAAAACAGGUUGUGUUGAUAGGACUUUUCUGCUAGUCACAGCUUUAGCAUGCAGACACAACAUGAGAACAUGGGCAGUGAGCUUGAUAAGUACCUAGAAUAAACAAGCACAUUAUUAUGAGGGGCAUAAGCCACCAAGCCAGGCACCACUGGCAAAUUCCUCUACUAGAAAUACUAGAAAUAAGGCAUUAUAAUACAGUAAGCUGUAUGUACACCACACCCAUUGUCACAUGCAAGUUCUCAAGAAGAUCAUAAAUGUAUGGGUAGUUAACUGAGGAAUGUGCCAGUGGUAGCCUAGCCAGGUGACAUCAUUAACCAAUGGACUCACUACUUUUUAGAACUUGAGAGUCUGGUCUCAGGUCGGGCCUGCCUGCCUUCAACUGUUACAAACUCCUCAAGAUUAGCAGCUCUGUUUAGCACAUGACCAGCAAGAAUGUGGUUCAGGGUCUGAGGGUAUAUGAACCUAUUCUGGCCUGCUACGCUUCUGUUUGCCGAAGGGGAUAGUAUAGAUGGUGGCACGGCACCACUCCACCCUUCACGUCUACCUUGAGUUUUCUUUGAUGACCUUGCGGGCAACACUUCUGGUCCCCUCAGUGGUCUCAUCUGCCAUUGGCUCAGGGAUACCAUCUCCACUCAGAAUGAGAGAAGACUUCCGCCAGUAUUGCCUCGUCUCAUCGACAGCAGCCUCCAGAUGUUUAACCGUUUCACGAAGCUCAGAGUUUUCCCGUUUCAGUUUCUGAGUUUCAUCUCUCAAGGAAGCUAUCUCACGUUUAAAUAGCUCCAUUUAUUUUCCCACUGCCUCAGCUACGAGAUCCUUGAUCUGUUCCAUCUCCUCUCUGAACCCCCGAAUGAACUGUUUGGUUAAGUUACGUUAGAUUUAACUAUUUCACAUGAAAAAGUGGCGAAGUACACCUACUUAAUUACAUGCAAAGAGAGCAAAGAAAUUACCUGAAGAUAUAUGUUACCUCUAGUACAAACCCUGCCUAAAUCACUGAGUUUCGUUCGAACCAGAUGGUUGACACUGGCCGCUCGCCGGCUCCGAGCUUAUAUCUUCACCGAGACUCCCAGCAGGGCUCUCAGGGACCUCGUCUAGUGCGUGGUUGGCCACUAUGUGCGUGUGUGGCCCUCCAUUCGACAGAACGGCAGCUGUGACGUGGGCUCACGCAAUCUGUUCCGAAGCAUCGCGCUGCUCCGUGAGCUGCCGCAGCGCACACGGACCACGGUGCAGUCAGCCAUCCAGCGCAACGGGUACUGGGCCCAUCCGGAACAGCUGCUGCUGGCCGUGGUGGCGGACGGGGACCGUGUGGUUCGCGAACAGGCGGUUCAAAUCAUCAGCGCCGCGCGCGAGCAGCCAACCGAGGGCCCCAGAAUUUUCGCAGACGAUCAACUUCGAGGCUGUGAGCUACACGGAGCUGAUCUCCUGGCGCGAACCAGUCGCGCAACCCCCACUCCUACGAGACCUCAGCGACGGCGUGCUGCGAAGCAUAGUGCACGCUCCAUUGCCCAUCCCGCCUUAUCCGGUUCAUACCCAUGCGGUGGAGAGGGCCGUGCGCACCGUCACCGAGGCAUGUUCGGCGGUGAUUGGAGAAGAGGCGCGGCAUGGCCUCAUCGCGGCCAAGCUCAUGCACCAACAUAUUCUCCCCACCGCCAACUCUAAGAAAAAUCUGCUCUGAAGGUGGUCGUAGUAGCAGGCCCCAGUAUGGCAGCCGCCGCCGCCGCAUCAUUGCGUCCGCCCGCUGCGCAGAUGCAGGACAGUCUUUCGAGUGGAGUGACCAAGGGGCGCACCGCUGGACCAGCACUCGGCGCUCCUACAAGCUGCACGUACUGUGUCUCUGCCUUCUGAUUCAGCAGCACGACGGCAGAAACGUUUAAGACGUGCAGCCCGCAGAAUAGAGACGGCACCGCCGCAGGUCAACCAGCCUGGCAGGGGCUAGUGCAGCAGUGCCCGGGCACGCGCCGCAGAGCAGAGUGGGGCCAGCGCCGCACAGCCGAGAACAUCUGCGGCUGAGGCUGGGGCUUCGGCAAUAGGGCAGCCCGGUUGUGAAGGUACUUUGGCUAUUGUGCGACCUCCGCCAACACGCGUUACGGGUUUCCGGUUUCGCAGCAGCUGCUGUUUCAGCCAGCGCACCGAAUACGCAUGCUCGGUCAGGAGCAAGGUGUGUGUACGGUUGUCCUUACACCUCUCCAUGCCCGUGGUGCAGACUGCAGACAUUGGUGUUUGAAGUUGUA
RNAcentral lists this long non-coding RNA (4188 nucleotides) under Pollicipes pollicipes. RNAcentral describes it as "uncharacterized LOC119101622, transcript variant X2". The record is from RNAcentral. Lineage: Eukaryota; Metazoa; Arthropoda; Thecostraca; Pollicipedomorpha; Pollicipedidae.